AUUGAACGCUGGCGGCAUGCCUUACACAUGCAAGUCGAACGGUAACAGGUCUUCGGAUGCUGACGAGUGGCGAACGGGUGAGUAAUACAUCGGAACGUGCCUAGUAGUGGGGGAUAACUACUCGAAAGAGUGGCUAAUACCGCAUGAGAUCUACGGAUGAAAGCAGGGGAUCGCAAGACCUUGUGCUACUAGAGCGGCCGAUGGCGGAUUAGGUAGUUGGUGGGAUAAAAGCUUACCAAGCCGACGAUCUGUAGCUGGUCUGAGAGGACGAUCAGCCACACUGGGACUGAGACACGGCCCAGACUCCUACGGGAGGCAGCAGUGGGGAUUUUUGGACAAUGGGCGCAAGCCUGAUCCAGCAAUGCCGCGUGCAGGAUGAAGGCCUUCGGGUUGUAAACUGCUUUUGUACGGAACGAAAAGCCCCGGGUUAAUACCCUGGGGUCAUGACGGUACCGUAAGAAUAAGCACCGGCUAACUACGUGCCAGCCGCCGCCGUAA
This 498-nucleotide ribosomal RNA is filed under the name uncultured bacterium. RNAcentral's name for it is "partial 16S ribosomal RNA". It matches the Rfam family "Bacterial small subunit ribosomal RNA", at positions 30 to 523 of the family's 1533-position model. The record is from RNAcentral.